UAAGUAACGAUAAAGCGGGUGAAAAGCCCGCUCGCCGGAAGACCAAGGGUUCCUGUCCAACGUUAAUCGGGGCAGGGUGAGUCGACCCCUAAGGCGAGGCCGAAAGGCGUAGUCGAUGGGAAACAGGUUAAUAUUCCUGUACUUGGUGUUACUGCGAAGGGGGGACGGAGAAGGCUAUGUUAGCCGGGCGACGGUUGUCCCGGUUUAAGCAUGUAGGCUGAUUAUCCAGGCAAAUCCGGAUAAUCAAGGCUGAGGUGUGAUGACGAGGCACUACGGUGCUGAAGUAACAAAUGCCCUGCUUCCAGGAAAAGCCUCUAAGCAUCAGGUAACAUCAAAUCGUACC
Molecule: ribosomal RNA, 343 nt
Filed under: Acinetobacter baumannii
Lineage: Bacteria; Pseudomonadati; Pseudomonadota; Gammaproteobacteria; Moraxellales; Moraxellaceae
Description: bacterial LSU rRNA
Rfam family: Bacterial large subunit ribosomal RNA
Source: RNAcentral